RNAcentral lists this ribosomal RNA (256 nucleotides) under uncultured bacterium. RNAcentral's name for it is "partial 16S ribosomal RNA". It matches the Rfam family "Bacterial small subunit ribosomal RNA", at positions 524 to 776 of the family's 1533-position model. The record is from RNAcentral.
UACAGAGGGUGCGAGCGUUGUCCGGAAUCACUGGGCGUAAAGAGCGCGCAGGCGGUCGGAUAAGUCGAAUAUGAAAGCCCCCCGGCUCAACUGGGGAGGGUCAUUCGAUACUGUUCGACUCGAAGGCAGGAGAGGGAAGUGGAAUUCCCGGUGUAGCGGUGAAAUGCUUAGAUAUCGUCAAGAACACCUAUAGCGAAGGCAGCUUACUAGGCUGUAACUGACGCUGAGGCGACGAAAGUGUGGGGAUCAAAACAGG